AAUCUUCCACAAUGGGCGAAAGCCUGAUGGAGCAAUGCCGCGUGAAUGAAGAAGGUCUUCGGAUCGUAAAGUUCUGUUAUUAGAGAAGAACAAGUCAAGGAGUAUCUGUCUUGACUUUGACGGUACCUAACAGAAAGUCACGGCCAUCUACGUUCCAGCAGCCGCGGUAAUACGAAGGUGUCUAGCGUUGUCCGGAAUAAUUGGGCGUAAAGGGAGCGAAGGCGGUUGGAAAAGUAUGAUGUGAAAGCCCACGGCUUAACCGAGGAAGGUCAUUGGAAACUGUCCAACUUGAAUGCAGAAGAGGAAAGUGGAAUUCCAUGUGUAGCGGUGAAAUGCGUAGAUAUAUGGAGGAACACCAGUGGCGAAGGCGACUUUCUGGUCUGUAAUUGACGCUGAGGCUCGAAAGCGUGGGUAGCGAACA
Molecule: ribosomal RNA, 421 nt
Filed under: uncultured bacterium
Lineage: Bacteria
Description: partial 16S ribosomal RNA
Rfam family: Bacterial small subunit ribosomal RNA
Source: RNAcentral